AACUAUUAUAAGCUAUAAAGGUAAGAAGAAGGCAUAUACUAAUGAUGCGGUUCAUGCUGCUCUACAAGUGAUAAUGUCUCUUCUUCUUAGAACUGAUGGAUUUUGAACAAAGAUGUGUUUGUGAAGUUGGUGUAUUCACUGGUAAGGUCCAUAGAACUCGAAUUUGUGGAGAAAAUGGACCGUAAUGGUAUAAAAGUACUUAGUUUAUUAUAUAGCUUGUAAUCCAAACCUUUCAAGAAAUAAUUACGUGGCCUGGUGUUUGUCGAUAGAUUUAAUAAACUUUUGUGCUAAAUAGGUGCCAUGUGUCUUAUUGUUUCAUCUUACACAAGAUAAUUUCCCGGUGGACACACUUGUGAGUAUUGCACUUUCCCAAGUCCUUUCUUUUUGGGUGCAAAUUUAACAUUUUAAGCACUUUCUUAGGUGUUCUUAAUUGCUAAGAGCAUUGGAUACAAGGGGCAUAUCAUCAUGUCAAUCGCCACAUCAUAGACAACCUAAAAUUUGAAUUAAGAUGUCCCUUGUUCACUCCUGGUGCAAAUGAUGAAGAUUUUGUCUGCUCAAUACUCCUAUUAAGUUUCUUCUUCCAGGUAUUUAAACUAAAGGUGGGAGAAGAAGAGCACGACAUUUGGCGAGUCUCAUUAAUAGACUAUACUCGAAGAUGAGAUUGUGAGUCCAAUCCUAAUGGUCAGACCAGACCUGCAGUUUUGCGAGAUGUUCUUCAUCAUUGUUCCAGUUUGCAGUUGUAUUAUUUCAUGCUGUUGCCUGAACAGGCAUGAUUACACAAGGUUGAGAAUAUUUGGUAGCAUUUGCAAAUAUUUUUUCACCUUCUGAUGUACAGUAAUUUUCCUUUUGCAUUUGCACGCUGGGCAGAAAUGGGGAAUAAUAUGA
This is a non-coding RNA of Coffea arabica (coffee), 885 nucleotides long. The record is from RefSeq and is a predicted model, not a curated record. Lineage: Eukaryota; Viridiplantae; Streptophyta; Magnoliopsida; Gentianales; Rubiaceae.